Molecule: ribosomal RNA, 1449 nt
Filed under: uncultured organism
Description: SSU rRNA
Rfam family: Bacterial small subunit ribosomal RNA
Source: RNAcentral
UACAGGCUUAACACAUGCAAGUCGAGGGGCAGCAUGGUCUUAGCUUGCUAAGGCCGAUGGCGACCGGCGCACGGGUGAGUAACACGUAUCCAACCUGCCGUCUACUCUUGGACAGCCUUCUGAAAGGAAGAUUAAUACAAGAUGGCAUCAUGAGUCCGCAUGUUCACAUGAUUAAAGGUAUUCCGGUAGACGAUGGGGAUGCGUUCCAUUAGAUAGUAGGCGGGGUAACGGCCCACCUAGUCUUCGAUGGAUAGGGGUUCUGAGAGGAAGGUCCCCCACAUUGGAACUGAGACACGGUCCAAACUCCUACGGGAGGCAGCAGUGAGGAAUAUUGGUCAAUGGGCGAGAGCCUGAACCAGCCAAGUAGCGUGAAGGAUGACUGCCCUAUGGGUUGUAAACUUCUUUUAUAAAGGAAUAAAGUCGGGUAUGGAUACCCGUUUGCAUGUACUUUAUGAAUAAGGAUCGGCUAACUCCGUGCCAGCAGCCGCGGUAAUACGGAGGAUCCGAGCGUUAUCCGGAUUUAUUGGGUUUAAAGGGAGCGUAGAUGGAUGUUUAAGUCAGUUGUGAAAGUUUGCGGCUCAACCGUAAAAUUGCAGUUGAUACUGGAUAUCUUGAGUGCAGUUGAGGCAGGCGGAAUUCGUGGUGUAGCGGUGAAAUGCUUAGAUAUCACGAAGAACUCCGAUUGCGAAGGCAGCCUGCUAAGCUGCAACUGACAUUGAGGCUCGAAAGUGUGGGUAUCAAACAGGAUUAGAUACCCUGGUAGUCCACACGGUAAACGAUGAAUACUCGCUGUUUGCGAUAUACAGCAAGCGGCCAAGCGAAAGCGUUAAGUAUUCCACCUGGGGAGUACGCCGGCAACGGUGAAACUCAAAGGAAUUGACGGGGGCCCGCACAAGCGGAGGAACAUGUGGUUUAAUUCGAUGAUACGCGAGGAACCUUACCCGGGCUUAAAUUGCAGAUGAAUUACGGUGAAAGCCGUAAGCCGCAAGGCAUCUGUGAAGGUGCUGCAUGGUUGUCGUCAGCUCGUGCCGUGAGGUGUCGGCUUAAGUGCCAUAACGAGCGCAACCCUUGUUGUCAGUUACUAACAGGUUCCGCUGAGGACUCUGACAAGACUGCCAUCGUAAGAUGUGAGGAAGGUGGGGAUGACGUCAAAUCAGCACGGCCCUUACGUCCGGGGCUACACACGUGUUACAAUGGGGGGUACAGAGGGCCGCUACCACGCGAGUGGAUGCCAAUCCCCAAAACCUCUCUCAGUUCGGACUGGAGUCUGCAACCCGACUCCACGAAGCUGGAUUCGCUAGUAAUCGCGCAUCAGCCACGGCGCGGUGAAUACGUUCCCGGGCCUUGUACACACCGCCCGUCAAGCCAUGGGAGCCGGGGGUACCUGAAGUGCGUAACCGCGAGGAGCGCCCUAGGGUAAAACUGGUGACUGGGGCUAAGUCAUAACAA